UCAGGACGAACGCUGGCGGCGUGCUUAACACAUGCAAGUCGAACGAUGAUGCCCAGCUUGCUGGGCGGAUUAGUGGCGAACGGGUGAGUAAUACGUGAGUAACCUGCCCUUGACUCUGGGAUAAGCCUGGGAAACUGGGUCUAAUACUGGAUACUACCUCUUACCGCAUGGUGGGUGGUGGAAAGGGUUUUACUGGUUUUGGAUGGGCUCACGGCCUAUCAGCUUGUUGGUGGGGUAAUGGCUCACCAAGGCGACGACGGGUAGCCGGCCUGAGAGGGUGACCGGCCACACUGGGACUGAGACACGGCCCAGACUCCUACGGGAGGCAGCAGUGGGGAAUAUUGCACAAUGGGCGGAAGCCUGAUGCAGCGACGCCGCGUGAGGGAUGACGGCCUUCGGGUUGUAAACCUCUUUCAGUAGGGAAGAAGCGAGAGUGACGGUACCUGCAGAAGAAGCGCCGGCUAACUACGUGCCAGCAGCCGCGGUAAUACGUAGGGCGCAAGCGUUGUCCGGAAUUAUUGGGCGUAAAGAGCUCGUAGGCGGUUUGUCGCGUCUGCUGUGAAAGCCCGGGGCUCAACCCCGGGUCUGCAGUGGGUACGGGCAGACUAGAGUGCAGUAGGGGAGACUGGAAUUCCUGGUGUAGCGGUGAAAUGCGCAGAUAUCAGGAGGAACACCGAUGGCGAAGGCAGGUCUCUGGGCUGUUACUGACGCUGAGGAGCGAAAGCAUGGGGAGCGAACAGGAUUAGAUACCCUGGUAGUCCAUGCCGUAAACGUUGGGCACUAGGUGUGGGGGACAUUCCACGUUUUCCGCGCCGUAGCUAACGCAUUAAGUGCCCCGCCUGGGGAGUACGGCCGCAAGGCUAAAACUCAAAGGAAUUGACGGGGGCCCGCACAAGCGGCGGAGCAUGCGGAUUAAUUCGAUGCAACGCGAAGAACCUUACCAAGGCUUGACAUUCACCGGACCGCCCCAGAGAUGGGGUUUCCCUUCGGGGCUGGUGGACAGGUGGUGCAUGGUUGUCGUCAGCUCGUGUCGUGAGAUGUUGGGUUAAGUCCCGCAACGAGCGCAACCCUCGUUCUAUGUUGCCAGCACGUGAUGGUGGGGACUCAUAGGAGACUGCCGGGGUCAACUCGGAGGAAGGUGGGGAUGACGUCAAAUCAUCAUGCCCCUUAUGUCUUGGGCUUCACGCAUGCUACAAUGGCCGGUACAAAGGGUUGCGAUACUGUGAGGUGGAGCUAAUCCCAAAAAGCCGGUCUCAGUUCGGAUUGAGGUCUGCAACUCGACCUCAUGAAGUCGGAGUCGCUAGUAAUCGCAGAUCAGCAACGCUGCGGUGAAUACGUUCCCGGGCCUUGUACACACCGCCCGUC
Molecule: ribosomal RNA, 1365 nt
Filed under: Kocuria rosea
Lineage: Bacteria; Bacillati; Actinomycetota; Actinomycetes; Micrococcales; Micrococcaceae
Description: bacterial SSU rRNA
Rfam family: Bacterial small subunit ribosomal RNA
Source: RNAcentral